Molecule: ribosomal RNA, 481 nt
Filed under: uncultured bacterium
Lineage: Bacteria
Description: partial 16S ribosomal RNA
Rfam family: Bacterial small subunit ribosomal RNA
Source: RNAcentral
GACGAACGUUGGCGGCGUGCUUAAUACAUGCAAGUCGACUGAAGCAGUGGUAGCAAUAUCGCUGUGGAGGUGGCGCACGGGUGAGUAACACGUAGGUAAUCUGCCUUCAGGUCUGGCAUAACUCCGGGAAACCGGGGCUAAUAGCAGAUGAUGCAGCGGCUCGACAUCGAGACAGUUGUUAAAGCUAUGGCGCCUGAAGAUGAGCCUGCGUCUGAUUAGCUAGUUGGCGGGGUAACGGCCCACCAAGGCAACGAUCAGUAGCUGGUCUGAGAGGAUGAUCAGGCACACUGGAACGGAGACACGGUCCAGACUCCGACGGGAGGCAGCAGUAAGGAAUAUUGCUGAAUGGGAGAAAUACUGAAGCAGCAACGCCGCGUGAGGGACGAAGGGCUUUUGCUUGUAAACCUCUGUAGUGAGAGAAAAAAAUCCCAAUCUUUGGGACAUGAUGGUAUCUAAAAAGUAAGCCCCGGCUAACUACGUG